This is a non-coding RNA of Prunus mume (Japanese apricot), 133 nucleotides long. NCBI's taxonomy places the organism in Eukaryota, Viridiplantae, Streptophyta, Magnoliopsida, Rosales, Rosaceae. The record is from RefSeq and is a predicted model, not a curated record.
AAUUAUCUGACUUGAUCGGUGAACUUCAGUCUUUGUUGAAUGGAACCGGAGAACAAUCAGAAGGUGACUUUGAAGCGAUCGCAUCACAGGUGCGCCGACUGGCAGCUGAGGUCCGGCAACUUGGCUCGUCACG